CUGAAUAGACCCCAGUUUCACGUCAUAGUGCUAACAUGGAUUAGCCGAUACGCAGUUUUCUAAACAUAAACUUUUGGGUUUGAACUUUCUUCAAACUUCAAAUUUUAUCAGCUGACACGAAAACGGAACUUUUGUUUUUACUGAAUUCUACUUACCGGUUACGGUCGACAGACCUUCGGUAAUCGUUUGCAUGUGUUUUCAUAGAGCAAAACAAAACUGUUGACAGGUUUUCCUACAUUUACGGUAUGUUUACGAGAGUAGAACCAGCCCUUUAUUAAUACAAAAAGUUACAGAACAUAUGUAUGUAACACACACAUCGUGUGAUAGCUGAUUGACCAAUGUAUUUCGAUAUUUUUUUAUUAAAUUCAAAAACUGAUUAUGGAAUUUCAUUGGUUUCAGUUUUAAAUUUUAUGUUCAAAAAAAUUUGAUUUUGCAUUUAGAACUCAAUUGAAGCGGAUGCUUCGAGUUCGGUGCAUAGUCAUCGUAUUUCAUCCCGUGCAAUUAUAACUGUACUCCGUCGUUUAUUCUGUGUAUAAAUACACACGUGUUAAAUUAACAGUUGGUGCGGAUUAUGGAGGAAUACUCUGCAGUGAUAAAAAAACACAAUUCAAUGUCAAAAAAAAAAUUACAAUGUGUGGAUACGCGUAACUGGCAAAUAAAUGAUCAAAAAUUAAAGCAAUAGUCCUUAGAAAAUUUGUUCUCCACAAAAAGUUAUGGUGGUGAAUAUUUUCUCUGCAAUCACAGGGGGUGGAUUGUGUCACAGGAAGUUCUUUUUAAACUCAACCUAUGUGUGUACGUUGAGUUUUUGACUUAGUAUACAUUGCAAAGAAGGUUAAGGAGAUUGGAUAAAAUAUGAAUUUGAGAAGGAAAUCAAAAUCUUGUUUAAGAAGGAGACACACAUUGAAAUUAUUAGUAGUAACACUCCUCUUGUUUGUUGCGACAUACCAUUUAUACCGGAUCCAAUUAACUGACUCUGGAAAUAUAAUGGCAUCAUGUCAGUCGAUUGAUGUGGUAUACACUUGGGUUAAUGGUUCGGAUCCUGCGUUUGUCCACUCUAUAAGCCAAUUCGAUAGCAACUAUGACUCCACGAGGUUUGAUGACAAAAACGAAUUGAAAUACUCUCUAAGGUCGCUGGAAAAAUAUGCUCCCUGGAUAAGACACAUUUAUAUUAUUACAAAUGGCCAAAUUCCCAAGUGGUUAGAUCUGUCUAACAAACGCAUAACAAUUGUUCCCCACGAGUUUCUGGUAACUAAACUGGAGUUGCUGCCGGUUUUUUCAAGUGCUGCUAUCGAAACUUUCAUUCAUCGAAUACCUAAUUUGUCGCCGAGAUUCCUUUAUUUAAAUGAUGAUAUUUUUCUGGGUUCAGAUUUAUAUCCCGAGGAUUUGUACACUAAUUCAGAGGGAGUACGAGUAUAUCAAGCAUGGCUUGCUCCGGAUUGCGCUCUAGAUUGUCCGUGGACAUAUAUAGGAGACCAUACAUGUGACCAACAUUGUAAUAUAAAACAAUGUCAGUUUGAUGGUGGAGAUUGUAAAAAUGAAAACAAUACCCGCACACAUAAGAAACAAAGCAAACCAGAACAUACUUUUACCAAAAUGACCAUGCAAAAUCUUAAACUAAAUGCCAAGAAAUACACAUUUCCUUUGUCAAGGAAAAACAAGUUUACAAGUUUUCGAGAUAUUAUAACAACAAACAAACAUAUUAUGAACAAGACUGAAAUGAAAACUGUUGUCGAAAACUUCAACAAACAGCUCCAAUAUAAGGAGCUUGCCACAGAAGUAGGGGCAGUCAGUGAUGCAUUAACGAUUUCAAAUACACCUGCAAUUAGAAAUGUGGCUCCGUCAUCCGACAUAUUUUCCCAGUCCCUUAUCUACACCAAUAUGUUGUUAAACCGUCGAUAUGGAUUUAAGGCGCGUCAUGUCAUAGGCCAUGUUGGGUUUUUACUAGAAAAAUCUAUCAUCGAACAUAUACAAAAAGAAUUCUACGAGGAAAUUUUGACUACAGCAAAACAUCGUUUUCGAGCUUCAGAUGAUUUGCAAUUUUCUUUUCUUUAUUAUAAUUUUCUUAUGGAAGAAACUUAUACCUUAAGCGUUGAUCACAUAUUCAACGAGAUAGAUACGGACCACUCCCUAACAUGGUCCGACCGCGAAGUAAGAACGUUUUUGGCAAGAAUUUUCCCCUUACCUUUGGAUUGGUCUGCCGUUAGAUUCUUCGAAGAAGUCAUACAAAAUUGUACUUUAAAUGCGGUGCAUAUGAGAGCUGACGAUACUCAAUACAGUACCGUAAUAUAUGAGCGUUACGAAGACUCGCACUUGCCCACAGUAACACGGGACCUAGUUAAAAAUUGCCCUCCCCUCGUUGAAGCACUAGAAUCCCACUUUGCCAUACGCAAUAAAUACAAGUUCAAAAUACAUUCGAAGCGAAACUUGCAUAGCAGCUUUAUGAUGUUAACAUCGAAUGUGACAGAUGUUGUUGAAGCCUUAGACAGAAUACGCAGAUCUCCAAGCUUCACAGGUGAGUCAUCUUGUUCCCGUCCAUAGGACCGAUCGUCAUAGGCAGACAUGAAACCUCUGUGCUACGGUGGCCUACGUUCCUGCGGGUAUUGAUUAUUUAAAGGACCCAAUAACUCGCCUUGUCAUAUAAAUCAUCAUAGUCAUUCAGUAAGCAAGAGACGGUGCAACACAAACUCCCACCGAGGCUCUCCAUUCGAUAUCGCUGAUUGUCCGCGAUUGCAUUGUGGCUACUCCGUAUGGAACAUUCCACUAUCCGCAAGCUGUGGACGCGCCCGGUAGCUCUCGACUGAACUUCUUGUGACUAAGAAAAACACCACUCAAAUUGAAGCUCAAAGUUCCAGCCUGUCUGGUGCUUAUAGUUAUCCCGUGCCGAGAUAUUGACAUAGAAUGUGUGAAAGUUUUUCAUCUACUGCAACUAACCAUAUUUUUAAAAGGCAGUACUUUUUUCGAAGUUAUCCAAUUGAUUUGUAUACAAUUGAUUUGAAAUAAAAAAAAUAUAAGAUCUUGGAUUUUUUGUAUAAAUCGAGCCUCCUACUUUGCAAUAUAAGUCAUUUUUAAUACUUUGAGUGAAACUUCUUUUUUAAUAAAAUAUUCUUUAUUGAAUGAGAAUGAGAAUUUUUGUCGUACAAACGAUUCGCUGACUCAUUACAAUCAUCAAUAACUAUCGGCGGUGUGGAUAUUGAGCAGUCUGACGCUCUUGAUUUUAUGGGCAUUUGAUGCCUUUUGCUCAAACCAUAUUUUCGAAGUGCCCUACUUAAGAGCAGAGCGAAAAUGGAAUAUAACUCAAUUUUAUAAGCAGGAGGUUCCAGGGCAUCUUUGGAGCUACUGGACUGUGGGAAAACGACAGUGAAUAUGCUGAUUGGGGACAAAAAUUUAAUUGCAUUAAUGAUAAUAUGGAUCCCCGCCACGAGGAUAAUAAGUUGAUACGGCACUUAUUAGAUGAUUUC
Molecule: RNA transcript, 3458 nt
Organism: Stomoxys calcitrans (stable fly)
Lineage: Eukaryota; Metazoa; Arthropoda; Insecta; Diptera; Muscidae
Gene: Gnptab
Gene name: N-acetylglucosamine-1-phosphotransferase subunits alpha/beta
Exons: 7
Source: RefSeq, a predicted model, not a curated record